Long non-coding RNA from Pavo cristatus (Indian peafowl), 1878 nucleotides. Lineage: Eukaryota; Metazoa; Chordata; Aves; Galliformes; Phasianidae. The record is from Ensembl.
UAUAGUCCAGCAAUAUAAGCCUGCAAAUUUUAAUCUAUCUUACAGGUAGAAGGCCUUGGAUGUAUUUUGUGUGGAUAAGAAGUUAGAGGUGCAGUGAAGCUCUCUUCCCAAAGGCUCAGUGAGUGCUAAACUGAAGAGAAAAGCUCUUCUAACACCAUCUAUCUAGCCUACUAGGUUUCAUGGUGUUGAGCAGCAUGAAAUUAAUGAAUGAAUCACACAACAUAACAAUGCAUGAAAUCACGAAUGGACAUAUACGUUCAAUUGCUGGCUCAUCUGAGACCCACCGGCAUAACACCAGGUAGAAAGCUGAAGAUCGUGAAGGAAAACUUAAGGAGUAAACUGUCACUGGCUCCAUCUCAGACUUUAUGCAUUACGUCGGGCCACUUCUGUGCAAGAGAUGUCUCUAAUUUCAUUUUCUGUGUUAUAUGUCUGCUACUUACACACGUGUUUUAAUCUAGUUGUGUAGACUUCUUUGUAGCUGCUAGAGAGGUUAUGAUCCUAGAAAGCAGCUCAUCCCUUCUUAAGUGUCUAAUAGCUCUAGGAAAUAUUGGUCAUGUCUUUCCAUUCCUUAAGUGAAAACUAGGUAAGAAAAACUCAGACUGCUGUGUGAAAAAAGUUUUUGUGAUAAUGCAGAUGAGUUUUUAGAACUGGGGGUGUGUAGAGAAUUGCAUUGCUCCGCUAGCACAGGGAAGCAGUCAGUUCUGAGACCAGCCAGUCCCAAGGCUCCUGUACAAACACGUCGGCCCUCUUCCCACUGGAAUGUUUCCUGACCCAAUGGCACUGACCUUGUUAUUUGCCUGUCAGCUCCUAACAGCUCGGGAGUGGUUGUUGCAACUUAAUUAAUCGCAAACCUAUAGUAGAGUUUAAUAUCUUGUGGUCAACAAUGUAACUGAUUAAAGUGCAGCCCAUAACAGCAAUAUACAGGUCCAUUUCCCUGGAAAAAAAAAUAAUAAUAAAUUGUAAAGAUUUAUCUGGAUACAGAUUUUUUUAAAAAACGUCUUUACAGAUUCCAGAUUGAAUUAUUAAAACGUAUUAUCCAUGGAACUUCUCUGGAAAAUAUUUCACAUGGCCUGUACCUAUAGUCAGGUGUCACUCAAGGUUGCUGAAUUUCUGGCUAGCCUUGGUUACCCAAACACCCACCUUUGGUUGCUGCAAAGUCUUUGAGCUUAAGUCAGCUUUUUAGACUUUUGAUGGCUGUUGGGAUUUCACAUGAUUUUACAGAUGUGGGUAAACAACAUCUCUUGACUUUGGGGCAUCUGCUUUUAAGAUGUUCCCUCCACUGGUCCUGUGAGAUAGAGGUACAUUUUUAAAAAGUGUGUCUGUAACACUACACAUUCUUUUGCUUUCAGAAAUAAUGUUUUGCUGCCUGUGUGAUUAGAUUUGGGUUAAAUUUAGAAUCUCUAAAAUCUUUGCCACAAAAAUGGAUCAGAGCAAUGAGUGUUGUGUAAGAACCUGUGCUAUGGACCAGCUGCUCUAAGCACGAGGACUAGAGAAUGAAGUAUACAUGGAUUUAGGCUACUGCUUCUUAAGUCGUCUUUUCAAUUUUCAGUACCAAAUGAGAAUUUCAUCAGAGUUAACUACCAUGGAAGGGGAGGGCGAGGAGAAAUUACAUAGAAUCUCUGAGUUGGAACAUGAUUAAGUAGCCGUACAAUGUGGUAACUGAAACGACAGAGCACAUUAAUAGGGCUUCGCUGUAGGAAAUACCAGUAUGGGCAGCAGAUGCUGACAAUGAGAAGAAAUGGCAAAGUUGUACAAAAUAUGAGCACCUAUUGUCUCAUGAAAAUCUUAGCAUAAAUGUGACGUGAGUUUUUAAUGGGCAGAUUAAUUUUAUGCAGGAUUUUAAAAAAUAAAUGUUUAUUAGCCCAACUAUGUGUUGAU